Apis florea (little honeybee) is the source of this 397-nucleotide long non-coding RNA. The record is from RefSeq and is a predicted model, not a curated record. NCBI's taxonomy places the organism in Eukaryota, Metazoa, Arthropoda, Insecta, Hymenoptera, Apidae.
UAUUUGAAAAUGAUAAGAAAUAAAUAAUCAUAAAAAAAUUACAAUAGAUGAUAAAUAUAAAUCUAGUUACAUGAAAAACUAUCACAAUUGGUAGAAUCUAUUGAAUUGUGAUUUAUUAGGUCAUAAGAAAACUAUUAUAACUUCUCUUCUUACUUCUCAACUCAAUUAUACUUAACAAGAAGAUCCUUGAAUUGGAUAUAAAUAACUUAUUUCCUGUCGUCAUAUAAUAAACAUACGUCUACGUCAUAACGCUGGUCGAUUAAGCUUGUGGAAAAUUGGAUUGAAUAUCUUCAAGAGCGACCCAUUGAACUAUUUCAUCGAGUUGCAGUUAAAUCGAAACGAAUAUAUUUCAUAAAUCUUGCUCCUAAAUUAAAGAUCGACAAUAUGAUCGACAAUC